RNAcentral lists this ribosomal RNA (1037 nucleotides) under Bokermannohyla astartea (Paranapiacaba treefrog). Its description in RNAcentral is "partial 16S ribosomal RNA". It matches the Rfam family "Bacterial large subunit ribosomal RNA", at positions 935 to 2595 of the family's 2925-position model. Lineage: Eukaryota; Metazoa; Chordata; Amphibia; Anura; Hylidae. The record is from RNAcentral.
CUCCCUAAAGCUUAUUAAAUAAAACAUAAAUAAAACCCUUGCUUUAGAGCUAUUCAAAUAAGGCACAGCCUAUUUGAAACAGGAUACAACCUAAAAUAAUGGGUAAUUUUUUAUAAAAACAUUAAAGUGGGCCUAAAAGCAGCCACCUUUAAAAUAGCGUCAAAGCCUAUAUAAAACCCUUCCCUCAAUUUCAUAAACAAUUUUAAACCCUUAAUUACCACCGGGUAAUUCCAUACUUUUAUGGAAUAUAUUAUGUUAAAACUAGUAACAAGAAGCAAGUUCUUCUCUUAAAUGCAAGUAUAAGCCAGCAAGGAUAAUCCACUGUCAAUUAACACACAUGAACUUUAAGUAAUAACACCACAAGAAAAUUUUACUUAACAACUUAAUGUCAACCUAACACAAGGGCAUUACAAGAAAGAUUAAAAAAAAAAGAAGGAACUCGGCAAACAUUAACCCCGCCUGUUUACCAAAAACAUCGCCUCUUGUAAAACAUAUAAGAGGUCCAGCCUGCCCAGUGACUUAGUUCAACGGCCGCGGUAUCCUAACCGUGCGAAGGUAGCGUAAUCACUUGUUCUUUAAAUGAGGACUAGUAUGAAUGGCACCACGAGGGUUAGACUGUCUCCUUUUUUUGAUCAGUGAAACUAAUCUCCCCGUGAAAAAGCGGGAAUUAUUUUAUAAGACGAGAAGACCCUAUGAAGCUUUAAACAAACUAACAUCCGCUACCACUUUAUUACUUUCAGAAUUACAUCAAAAAAUAUAGCAACUUGAUUACAAGUUUUCGAUUGGGGUGAUCACGGAGUAAAAAACAACCUCCACGCCGAAAGGACUAAACUCCUCAACAAAAAGCCACAGCUUUAUGCACUAAUAUAUUAACGCCUUUGACCCAUUAUUUGAUCAACGAACCAAGUUACUCUAGGGAUAACAGCGCAAUCUACUUCGAGAGCCCCUAUCGACAAGUAGGUUUACGACCUCGAUGUUGGAUCAGGGUGUCCCAGUGGUGCAGCCGCUACUAACGGUUCGUUUGUUCACGAUAAACC